RNAcentral lists this ribosomal RNA (904 nucleotides) under Verrucomicrobia bacterium UBA5540. RNAcentral's name for it is "bacterial SSU rRNA". It matches the Rfam family "Bacterial small subunit ribosomal RNA", at positions 8 to 900 of the family's 1533-position model. Lineage: Bacteria; Pseudomonadati; Verrucomicrobiota. The record is from RNAcentral.
AGAGUUUGAUCCUGGCUCAGAACGAACACUGGCGGCGUGGAUUAGGCAUGCAAGUCGAGCGGGAUUCACUUGCUUCAAUUCUUCGGAAAAGAAGCUUGUGAUGAGAGCGGCGAACGGGUGAGUAAUAUAUGGGUAAUUUGCCUUGAAGCCCGGGAUAGCCACUCGAAAGGGUGGGUAAUACCGGAUGUGCUCGGGUGCUGCAUAGCACCUUAUGUGAAGGUGGGGAUCUUCGGACCUGCCACUUCAAGAUAAGCCCAUAUCCUAUCAGCUAGUUGGUAAGGUAAUGGCUUACCAAGGCUUACGGGUAGCUGGUCUGAGAGGACGACCAGCCACACUGGGACUGAGACACUGCCCAGACUCCUACGGGAGGCUGCAGUCGAGAAUNNGCGACGCCGCGUGGAGGACGAAGGCCUUCGGGUUGUAAACUCCUGUCCUGAGGGAAUAAAUGGAUACAGGCUAAUACCCUGUGUUUUUGACAGUACCUCAGAAGAAAGUCACGGCUAACUCUGUGCCAGCAGCCGCGGUAAUACAGAGGUGGCAAGUGUUGUUCGGAUUUACUGGGCGUAAAGGGUCCGCAGGCGGUUUUGUGUGUCAGAUGUGAAAGCCCACGGCUUAACCGUGGAAAUGCAUUUGAAACUACAGGACUAGAGUACGGGAGAGGAGAGGGGAAUUCAUGGUGUAGCGGUGAAAUGCGUAGAUAUCAUGAAGAACACCGGUGGCGAAAGCGCCUCUCUGGACCGAUACUGACGCUCAUGGACGAAAGCUAGGGGAGCGAAGAGGAUUAGAUACCCUCGUAGUCCUAGCCAUAAACGGUGUGCACUUGAUGUGGGAGGUUUACCCCCUUCCGUGUCGAAGCUAACGCGAUAAGUGCACCGCCUGGGAAGUACGGCCGCAAGGUUAAAAC